AGACCGAUAGCGAACAAGUACCGUGAGGGAAAGAUGAAAAGAACUUUGAAAAGAGAGUUAAACAGUAUGUGAAAUUGUUAAAAGGGAACCGUUUGGAGCCAGACUGGCUUGAUCGUAAUCAAUCUAAGCUUCGGCUUGGAUGCACUUGCGGUCUUUGCCUGCCAAUGACAGUUUUUUUCGGGGGAAAAAACUAGGAGAAAUGUAGCCUCUCGGGGUGUUAUAGUCUCUUAGAAAAUACCCUGAAUUGGACUGAGGAACGCAGUGAAUGCUCUUCGGGGCAAGAUUGCUGAGUGCUUUCGUUGAAGGAUGUUAGAAUUUCUGCCUUGGGUGGUGCUAAUGUUGUUUGAGGCGAAACUCGCUUGGUAUAUUUUUUAUUCGCUUAGGUUGUUGGCUUAAUGACUCUAAAUGACCCGUCUUGAAACACGGACCAAG
RNAcentral lists this ribosomal RNA (432 nucleotides) under Mucor sp. RNAcentral's name for it is "LSU rRNA". It matches the Rfam family "Eukaryotic large subunit ribosomal RNA", at positions 331 to 670 of the family's 3401-position model. Lineage: Eukaryota; Fungi; Mucoromycota; Mucoromycetes; Mucorales; Mucoraceae. The record is from RNAcentral.